GAUGAGCGCUGGCGGCGUGCCUAACACAUGCAAGUCGAACGAAGCUUGACGGAUGAUUUCUUCGGAAUGAAACCAGAUAUGACUUAGUGGCGGACGGGUGAGUAACACGUGAGCAACCUGCCUUUCAGAGGGGGAUAACGGCUGGAAACGGUCGCUAAUACCGCAUGAUGUGUUCGGAUGGCAUCAUCUGAACAUCAAAGAUUUAUCGCUGAAAGAUGGGCUCGCGUCUGAUUAGAUAGUUGGUGGGGUAACGGCCUACCAAGUCUACGAUCAGUAGCCGGACUGAGAGGUUGAACGGCCACAUUGGGACUGAGAUACGGCCCAGACUCCUACGGGAGGCAGCAGUGGGGAAUAUUGCACAAUGGGGGAAACCCUGACGCAGCAACGCCGCGUGAAGGAUGACGGUUUUCGGAUUGUAAACUUCUUUUCUUAGUGACGAAGACAGUGACGGUAGCUAAGGAAUAAGCAUCGGCUAACUACGUG
Molecule: ribosomal RNA, 483 nt
Filed under: uncultured bacterium
Lineage: Bacteria
Description: partial 16S ribosomal RNA
Rfam family: Bacterial small subunit ribosomal RNA
Source: RNAcentral